AUGGAGGAUCACGGAGAGGAAGAGGUUGGUGGCUGGGAUCACUUUGGCCCGGAUCAGUACCUGGAGGACGCGUUUGAAGGUCUAAAGCUGCAUGGAGAGGAAGAAGAGGAUUUGGAUCUCUCGGGGGAGGUUGAGGAAUUGAUUGGGGACGUGAGAUGGCUUGCCUUGUUUAGGGUUCAUACCUUGAGGCCCUUUAGCCACUCGGCGCUCUUGAACGCAAUGAGGAACAUGUGGGCAUGUGCGCAAGGCGUUACCUUCAACAUUAAAGGACCAAACCUGUUUUUGGCGCAAUGUCACUGCUUGGGGGAUUGGAAGCGAGUAAUGGAGGGAGGCCCUUGGCAAUUUCGUAGAGACCCGGUUGUUUUGGUUGAGUAUGACGGAUUCACGAAUGUGGCUGAAUACUCCCUGAACAUGUAUCCGCUAUGGGCAAGAAUUAAGGGCUGCCGGAUGGACUUACGAGGAAGAAGGAAUUAG
Molecule: ribosomal RNA, 474 nt
Filed under: Triticum aestivum (bread wheat)
Lineage: Eukaryota; Viridiplantae; Streptophyta; Magnoliopsida; Poales; Poaceae
Description: partial small subunit ribosomal RNA
Source: RNAcentral